Long non-coding RNA from Dalotia coriaria, 1385 nucleotides. RefSeq lists it as uncharacterized. The record is from RefSeq and is a predicted model, not a curated record. The transcript is spliced from 4 exons. Lineage: Eukaryota; Metazoa; Arthropoda; Insecta; Coleoptera; Staphylinidae.
GACAUUACUACGCUUGACACGUAGGAUCUCUUGACAUGCACGAAUCUGUUGACAUUGACAAAUUGUGUGCCACUUUGAGGUAAAGUGGACAUUUCCUUCUCAUCGAGGAUUUAUUUGUAUAUUUUCAUAAAAUGAGAAAAAUCAUCGGUGGAAAAUUCAGUCAUAUAGACGUUUUAUUUGGGUGAAAAUGGAACAUUUUUCUAACAUUUUCUUUUUAUCUGUGCUUAUAUUUCUUGUAAAAUGUAAAGUUCACGUGAAUUCUACAGAUAAAUACGAAACAUCUAUCAAAGAAUGUUCAGAAGACCUAAAUUUAGACCCUGGAUUUGUAAUAAGUUAUCCUACAAUCUUGUCAAAAACUGAUAUUGACCCUAAACAGCUCAGUUGCAUAAGGAAAUGUGUCUGGGAGAAAAUGGGUUACAUUGACUCAAAAUCAAACUUCAUAGAAGCUGCUUUCUGUGAAGAUCAUCCAGAAAUGCCAGAGAAUCACGUGCAUAUUAUCAAAAAAUGCAUUCGUCCAGCGGGUACAACAAUAUCCACGGAAUGUUCAGCGUUUUAUAAUUUUGACAAAUGUAUUAACGAUGAAAUUAAAAAACUACGCGGUGUACACUAAAAUUUGAUAAAUGAACAAACAUAAAAUUUCCCAAAUAAAUCAUUUACUAAUUUUAGGUUAAGUACGUACUUCCUUUUUAUGUUAAACUUAAUUCUGUGUGAAUCACUGAAUAGUAGAAAUAAUUGACCUUGAUAUUUAUUUGUAAACAUGUUAUUGCACAUAAAAUAAACUAUCCAGCACAAAAUUUUAGUUUUCAUCCAUACAUCCAGCAAUACACACUUUUAAAAAGAAAUUAAAAAAAAAAAACAUGAAAUUUACGUUGAAAUUUUGUAUUUUAACCGCGUUAGUAAUAUUUAUUCAAGGUCAAGAGGAAGAGGCUCCAGAUGACAAACACAAGAGAAUUGUCAACGAAUGUGCACAAGAAUUACACACAGACGCCGCUUACUUCAUACCGGACCCAAAAAUGGUCCCAACGCAUCCAUUCGAUCCCAAAAAGUUCAGCUGUAUGAAGAAAUGUGUAUGGCAAAAGAAAGGCCAUAUAGACGAAAACAUAAACUUCGGGGAAGCUGCAUUCCGAGCUGACACACCCGAAAUGCCCAAUGCUCACAUUAAUAUCAUCAAAAAUUGCUUAAGUCUCACUGCAAAAAACAUCUCAAUUGAUUGUUCAGCAUUCAGAGAAUUCGACACAUGCGUAAAUGCAGAAUUUAAAAAAAUGUACGAAGAAAAUCAACACUCAAGUUAAACCAUCAUAAUCUAUCAAGACAUAACCUAUAAAUGAAUAUUAACUUAGUUUAUUACAACUGGUAUAACUAAUAUAAUCAUAUUCAGUGGUGAA